This 818-nucleotide ribosomal RNA is filed under the name uncultured bacterium. RNAcentral's name for it is "bacterial SSU rRNA". It matches the Rfam family "Bacterial small subunit ribosomal RNA", at positions 71 to 861 of the family's 1533-position model. The record is from RNAcentral.
UCGGAGUGCUUGCACUCUGUGAAACAAGAUACAGGCUAGCGGCGGACGGGUGAGUAACACGUGGGUAACCUGCCCAAGAGAUCGGGAUAACACCUGGAAACAGAUGCUAAUACCGGAUAACAACAGAUGAUGCCUAUCAACUGUUUAAAAGAUGGUUCUGCUAUCACUCUUGGAUGGACCUGCGGUGCAUUAGCUAGUUGGUAGGGUAACGGCCUACCAAGGCGAUGAUGCAUAGCCGAGUUGAGAGACUGAUCGGCCACAUUGGGACUGAGACACGGCCCAAACUCCUACGGGAGGCAGCAGUAGGGAAUCUUCCACAAUGGACGCAAGUCUGAUGGAGCAACGCCGCGUGAGUGAAGAAGGGUUUCGGCUCGUAAAGCUCUGUUGUUGGUGAAGAAGGACAGGGGUAGUAACUGACCUUUGUUUGACGGUAAUCAAUUAGAAAGUCACGGCUAACUACGUGCCAGCAGCCGCGGUAAUACGUAGGUGGCAAGCGUUGUCCGGAUUUAUUGGGCGUAAAGCGAGUGCAGGCGGCUCGAUAAGUCUGAUGUGAAAGCCUUCGGCUCAACCGGAGAAUUGCAUCAGAAACUGUCGAGCUUGAGUACAGAAGAGGAGAGUGGAACUCCAUGUGUAGCGGUGAAGUGCGUAGAUAUAUGGAAGAACACCGGUGGCGAAGGCGGCUCUCUGGUCUGUUACUGACGCUGAGGCUCGAAAGCAUGGGUAGCGAACAGGAUUAGAUACCCUGGUAGUCCAUGCCGUANACGAUGAGUGCUAAGUGUUGGGAGGUUUCCGCCUCUCAGUGCUGCAGCUAACGCAUU